UUGAAUAAACUUGGUUGGGUUGAUGCUGGCUUCUAGGAGCAUGUGCACGCUCAUUCCAUUUUUAACCACCUGUGCACCUUAUGUAGAUCUGAACAAUCCUCGGGGAAACUCGGUCGGAGAAUUGCCGUGUUUACAACCGGCUCUUCUUGAGUUCAGGUCUAUGUCUUUAUACACUCCAUACGAAUGUAUCAGAAUGUUAUUGAUAGGCGUUACCGCCUUUAAAAUCAAAUA
RNAcentral lists this unclassified non-coding RNA (231 nucleotides) under uncultured Entoloma. Its description in RNAcentral is "sequence contains ITS1". The record is from RNAcentral. Lineage: Eukaryota; Fungi; Basidiomycota; Agaricomycetes; Agaricales; Entolomataceae.